Molecule: ribosomal RNA, 495 nt
Filed under: uncultured bacterium
Lineage: Bacteria
Description: bacterial SSU rRNA
Rfam family: Bacterial small subunit ribosomal RNA
Source: RNAcentral
UAGUCCACGCCCUAAACGAUGCUAACUCGAUAUUUGGAUCUUGAAUCUGAGUGUCUAAGCGAAAGCGAUAAGUUAGCCACCUGGGGAGUACGGCCGCAAGGUUAAAACUCAAAUGAAUUGACGGGGGCCCGCACAAGCGGUGGAGCAUGUGGUUUAAUUCGAUGCAGCGCGAAGAACCUUACCUACACUUGACAUACAGAGAACUUACCAGAGAUGGUUUGGUGCCUUCGGGAACUCUGAUACAGGUGCUGCAUGGCUGUCGUCAGCUCGUGUUGUGAGGUGUUGGGUUAAGUCCCGCAACGAGCGCAACCCCUAUCUUUAGUUGCCAACACGUAAUGGUGGGGACUCUAGAGAGACUGCCGGCGUAAGCCGCGAGGAAGGUGGGGAUGACGUCAAAUCAUCAUGGCCUUUAUGCCCAGGGCUACACACGUGCUACAAUGGCAGGUACAAAGAGUCGCUAAGCCGCGAGGUAGAGCUAAUCUCAGAAAACCUGUA